UGGGACUUAUUUACAAUGCCUGCC
RNAcentral lists this non-coding RNA (24 nucleotides) under Arabidopsis thaliana (thale cress). Lineage: Eukaryota; Viridiplantae; Streptophyta; Magnoliopsida; Brassicales; Brassicaceae. The record is from RNAcentral.